CUUCGGGGUGUUUNAAUGGAGAACGGGUGAGUAACACGUGGGCAAUCUGCCCUUCACUCUGGGACAAGCCCUGGAAACGGGGUCUAAUACCGGAUACGACACACGACCGCAUGGUCUGUGUGUGGAAAGCUCCGGCGGUGAAGGAUGAGCCCGCGGCCUAUCAGCUUGUUGGUGGGGUGAUGGCCUACCAAGGCGACGACGGGUAGCCGGCCUGAGAGGGCGACCGGCCACACUGGGACUGAGACACGGCCCAGACUCCUACGGGAGGCAGCAGUGGGGAAUAUUGCACAAUGGGCGAAAGCCUGAUGCAGCGACGCCGCGUGAGGGAUGACCGCCUUCGGGUUGUAAACCUCUUUCAGCAGGGAAGAAGCGAAAGUGACGGUACCUGCAGAAAAAGCGCCGGCUAACUACGUGCCAGCAGCCGCGGUAAUACCUAGGGCGCAAGCGUUGUCCGGAAUUAUUGGGCGUAAAGAGCUCGUAAGCGGCUUGUCACCUCGGAUGUGAAAGCCCGGGGCUUAACCCCGGGUCUGCAUUCGAUACGGGCAGGCUAGAGUNNGGUAGGGGAGAUCGGAAUUCCUGGUGUAGCGGUGAAAUGCNCAGAUAUCAAGAANANCACCGGUGGCGAANGCGGAUCUCUGGGNCGAUACUGACNCUGAGNANCNAAAGCGUGGGGAGCGGANA
Molecule: ribosomal RNA, 681 nt
Filed under: Streptomyces sp. LK2333.5
Lineage: Bacteria; Bacillati; Actinomycetota; Actinomycetes; Kitasatosporales; Streptomycetaceae
Description: bacterial SSU rRNA
Rfam family: Bacterial small subunit ribosomal RNA
Source: RNAcentral